RNAcentral lists this ribosomal RNA (297 nucleotides) under Bacillus thuringiensis. RNAcentral's name for it is "partial 16S ribosomal RNA". It matches the Rfam family "Bacterial small subunit ribosomal RNA", at positions 1 to 285 of the family's 1533-position model. Lineage: Bacteria; Bacillati; Bacillota; Bacilli; Caryophanales; Bacillaceae. The record is from RNAcentral.
UUUAUUGGAGAGUUUGAUCCUGGCUCAGGAUGAACGCUGGCGGCGUGCCUAAUACAUGCAAGUCGAGCGAAUGGAUUAAGAGCUUGCUCUUAUGAAGUUAGCGGCGGACGGGUGAGUAACACGUGGGUAACCUGCCCAUAAGACUGGGAUAACUCCGGGAAACCGGGGCUAAUACCGGAUAACAUUUUGAACUGCAUGGUUUGAAAUUGAAAGGCGGCUUCGGCUGUCACUUAUGGAUGGACCCGCGUCGCAUUAGCUAGUUGGUGAGGUAACGGCUCACCAAGGCAACGAUGCGUA